UUUUGUAAAUGUACCAUGCAUGCUUAAAAUGAAUGUAUCUACAUUUGUUCCUGAGAUACAGGUUGAUGGAUGGAUGGCUCCAUGGAUGUGAUGGAGAUGGUUUACUAUCGGGACCUUCCGUAUCCUGCUGAUGCUUUGUUGCUUAGGAUAUGAAUGGCUGAGCGGAGGCUGUAAAACCUGGCACUCUGCUUGGGUUAUCAAUACUCUGGCUGACCAUCAUCAUCGUGGGACUGACUUUGGUGGAAGUCCUUGGUUAGGUAUCAUUAUUGAAUUUCCGAGAAGUUAUAAAGUUGUCAUUACCCUC
Molecule: long non-coding RNA, 304 nt
Filed under: Pan troglodytes (chimpanzee)
Lineage: Eukaryota; Metazoa; Chordata; Mammalia; Primates; Hominidae
Description: long non-coding RNA NONPTRT006378
Source: RNAcentral